This 835-nucleotide long non-coding RNA is filed under the name Vombatus ursinus (common wombat). RNAcentral describes it as "lncRNA (ENSVURG00010011037.1)". The record is from RNAcentral. Lineage: Eukaryota; Metazoa; Chordata; Mammalia; Diprotodontia; Vombatidae.
GAUCGGACAUGAAUGAAGAGCUCAAAAAAGAAAUGGAGAAGGAGGGGUUAGACAGAUUGGAAGAGGACAAGAAGAAAGAGGGGUCAUGAAAAGUUAAAAAUGGCUUUUUACUUUGCUGAGCUAUCCAAGACCCAGGAACAUUCCUCUUUUCUUCCAUCCUCAGUAAUGAGGUGAAGAUGGAGUCAAGGUCUCUGCUGACUUGGACAGUGGAUGGAACUCAAGAUCCAGUGCAAGACUGAUCUCAAAAGCAUUGGUUGUUUGUCUCGUGGAGGCCAGGACCUUUGACCCCAUCUGGCUAGAGAUAAUCCAUCAUGAAGAAAAGUUAAUGGAAUCAGCAGGAAAGUGGCGGUGCCACCAUCGUCCUUUCAUCCCUUUCCAAAAUUCCUUCUGACCUUUACCACUACUCUCCGCUGCUGUGAGGUCACCAUCAUUUCCUCUCUCACUCAACCAGUUGAGAGCCUCUGGUGCAUUCUCAUGGCACACUGAUGGAUUAGCUGCAGAGUAGGGAUGUAGAAUUAAUAUUCUGAACAUAAUAAUAGUUAAAUAUAGUGCCACAUUCAAAGUAAAAGAAAAAGAGAUUAUACAUGCUACGUCCAGGCCACAGAGUUCCUUUUUGAUGAAAUGACUCAGUAAUAGUUUCAUUUUUAAGCAGUGGAGUGCAAAGAGCACCGGGCCUGGAGUCAGGAGGAUCUGAGUUCAAAUUUGAUCUCACAUCCUUACCAACUGUGUUACCCUGGGCAAAUCACUUAAUCUUUUUCUGCCUCAGUUUCCUCAUCUGUAAAAUGGGUACAAAAAUGUCACCUACCUCACAAGGUUGUUGUAAGGUUCAAAGGAG